ACACUACAUGGCACUCUACCUUGUCGGGUUACGCUUGCGAACAGACACCUCAAAGUCACGCCCAUCUGCCCUGCAUGUUCUAGUGCGCCAGAAGAUACAAAGCAUAUGUUGUUUCUUUGUCACAAAGCUAAGGAGGUUUGGCGUAAUCUGGGAUUGGAUGAGGUGAUCAACAAGGCUUGUGUUAUGGAUCGUGCAGGAGAGGUACUCCUUGAAUUUUUACUUCUUAUGCCAGAUCAUGAUGUAGCUAUAUUGGGCUUCCAGAAGACCCACGAACUAAUCGCUAUUACUGAUUGGUACUUAUGGUGGGAAAGACGUGGCUGGUCCAUGAAGGAAAGUUUCAAGAUGCUCAACAAACUUCUAUGGGUAUCCAUGCCAUAG
Molecule: ribosomal RNA, 378 nt
Filed under: Triticum aestivum (bread wheat)
Lineage: Eukaryota; Viridiplantae; Streptophyta; Magnoliopsida; Poales; Poaceae
Description: partial small subunit ribosomal RNA
Source: RNAcentral